Molecule: ribosomal RNA, 467 nt
Filed under: uncultured bacterium
Lineage: Bacteria
Description: partial 16S ribosomal RNA
Rfam family: Bacterial small subunit ribosomal RNA
Source: RNAcentral
GACGAACGCUGGCGGCGUGCUUAACACAUGCAAGUCGAACGGAAAGGCCUCUUUCGGGGGGUACUCGAGUGGCGAACGGGUGAGUAACACGUGAGUAACCUGCCCUUGACUUUGGGAUAACUUCAGGAAACUGGGGCUAACACCGGAUAGGAGCUCCUGCUGCAUGGUGGGGGUUGGAAAGUUUCGGCGGUUGGGGAUGGACUCGCGGCUUAUCAGCUUGUUGGUGGGGUAGUGGCUUACCAAGGCUUUGACGGGUAGCCGGCCUGAGAGGGUGACCGGCCACAUUGGGACUGAGAUACGGCCCAGACUCCUACGGGAGGCAGCAGUGGGGAAUAUUGCACAAUGGGUGGAAGCCUGAUGCAGCAACGCCGUGUGCGGGAUGACGGCCUUCGGGUUGUAAACCGCUUUCGCUCAUGACGAAGCUUUGUGUGACGGUAGUGGGUAAAGAAGCACCGGCUAACUACGUG